Molecule: ribosomal RNA, 674 nt
Filed under: Chasmodes bosquianus (striped blenny)
Lineage: Eukaryota; Metazoa; Chordata; Actinopteri; Blenniiformes; Blenniidae
Description: partial small subunit ribosomal RNA
Rfam family: Bacterial small subunit ribosomal RNA
Source: RNAcentral
CCACCGCGGUUAUACGAGAGGCCCAAGCUGACAGCCUCUCGGCGUAAAGAGUGGUUAAAUAAGUAAUGAACUAAAGCCGAAUGUUCUCUUAACUGUCAUACGCCUUCGAGAAUUGGAAGCCCCCUUACGAAAGUAGCUUUAUAUUAUUGAAUCCACGAAAGCUAAGACACAAACUGGGAUUAGAUACCCCACUAUGCUUAGCCUUAAACUUAGUUAGUAUAUUACAUACACACCCGCCUGGGAACUACGAGCAUUAGCUUAAAACCCAAAGGACUUGGCGGUGCUUAACACCCCCCUAGAGGAGCCUGUUCUAGAACCGAUAACCCUCGUUAAACCUCACCCUUUCUUGCCUAUUCCGCCUAUAUACCGCCGUCGUCAGCUUACCCUGUGAAGGUCUUAUAGUAAGCAUAAUUGGUUUAUACCCAAAACGUCAGGUCGAGGUGUAGCAAAUGAAGGGGAAAGAAAUGGGCUACAUUUCCUGGCCACAGGAUAUACGGAAAAUACUGUGAAAAAAGUAUUAGAAGGAGGAUUUAGAAGUAAGAGGGAAACAGAGUGUCCCCCUGAAACAGGCUCUUAAGCGCGUACACACCGCCCGUCACUCUCCCCAAGCAACAUUAACACAUAAUUAAUUAUACUUUAUAGCAAAGGGGAGGCAAGUCGUAACAUGGUAAGUG